This 274-nucleotide ribosomal RNA is filed under the name uncultured bacterium. RNAcentral describes it as "partial 16S ribosomal RNA". It matches the Rfam family "Bacterial small subunit ribosomal RNA", at positions 523 to 796 of the family's 1533-position model. The record is from RNAcentral.
AUACGAAGGGGGCUAGCGUUGUUCGGAAUCACUGGGCGUAAAGCGCGCGUAGGUGGAUCAAUUAGUUGAGGGUGAAAUCCCGGGGCUCAACCUCGGAACUGCCUUCAAUACUGUUGAUCUUGAGACCGAGAGAGGUGAGUGGAAUUCCUAGUGUAGAGGUGAAAUUCGUAGAUAUUAGGAAGAACACCAGUGGCGAAGGCGGCUCACUGGCUCAGUACUGACGCUGAGGUGCGAAAGCGUGGGGAGCAAACAGGAUUAGAAACCCCAGUAGUCC